RNAcentral lists this ribosomal RNA (254 nucleotides) under uncultured bacterium. RNAcentral's name for it is "partial 16S ribosomal RNA". It matches the Rfam family "Bacterial small subunit ribosomal RNA", at positions 524 to 776 of the family's 1533-position model. The record is from RNAcentral.
UACAGAGGGGGCAAGCGUUGUUCGGAAUUACUGGGCGUAAAGGGCGCGUAGGCGGCCUGUUAAGUCGAACGUGAAAUCCCCGGGCUCAACCCGGGAACUGCGUCCGAUACUGGCAGGCUUGAAUCCGGGAGAGGGAUGCGGAAUUCCAGGUGUAGCGGUGAAAUGCGUAGAUAUCUGGAGGAACACCGGUGGCGAAGGCGGCGAUCCUGGACCGGUAUUGACGCUGAGGCGCGAAAGCCAGGGGAGCAAACGGG